UGAGCAUGUAACAGGUGCACGUGGACCAGUGCCUGUGGGGGUGUGCCCGUAGACCUAGGGUGAAGCACUUCAGAACCUGCCCUGUUCACUGGGAGCUCUGGUCUGCAGGUGGAGAAGCUGAAGCAUAGAAAGUAAAACCCUGGAAGAGGAGAAAAUGCAGGCUGGAACCCAAAUAGCCUCUUCCUAGUCCAAGAGACCUACCAACACAUUCAAUGGAUUGUCCGGAACUGAUGCUGCCAAGUGGCUCAGGGAAAGCAAAAAUGACAGCCUCUCCCCAACGGGAGGAAUAGGUAUCGUGCUGAGCAGGACUAAGUGUCACAGGACCAGUCAUGAAAAUAAAAGUGAGAUGUAAUUCUUCCUUCGGAGCCCCAAGAAGGAAGCAAGGAAGCGCACCGUUGGAACUCAGCUGGCCACGAAGGCAACCCGGGCUGGAGGUCAGAGCCCAGCCCAGGGGACUUGAGCCAGGGAUCUUUGGAAGCCAGGACUUCUUGCCUUCUCUGGAGAAUAUCAAUGACAGAGCUGAUCUCGUCCUCAGGAACCUGGAGGGAGUACACAGCAUGAAACACUAGGCUGACUCCCUAAACCAGCUGUGAUGUCGCCCUUCCCCCACCACUGGGAUCUCAGUGUGCUUGCUGGAACCUCUACCCCAGCCCAGGUCCUCACCAGGGCAUGGUCAAAGUUGAACGUGCUGAUGUAAUACGCAGAGAUGUCAGCAGCCGCCAGGGGGCCCGCGAUCUGGGCCACAAUCCCACAUUCAUCUGAGGGUUGGAGACACGGGGGGAUUACCUUAGAUGCUGUGAAGACCCACAGAGUUGCCCUUUCCCCCGGUCCAGGGAGUGAGUGGUCCUCACCGAAGCCUAGGGGCUGUCCCCCGAUGCGCACCAUCCUCCAUAGCUCCCCAGAGGAACUGGUCAGCAGGAGAUCACUGGGGAACCUGGGCAAGCAGGUGGGUGAUGGGAAGGGCACCCCACGCACCCCUAUCUACCCUGGUCCCUAGGGCAUGUCCUGCUAACCUCAGAACCCGGCACCCCUCCUCCACCUUCCCUGAGGUUGAUUGAGGGUCUAGGGUCUAUGGAGAAUUGAGGAGUUACAUACUUUUUCUGGGUCUCUGCAUCCAUGACAAUGGAGAUGUAACCCUCAAUGAGGGAGAAAGCGAAGAACGGAAUGGAAGUUGGCUCAGAACCACCUGAGGCUGCCUCUCUGGGGACACUGAAGAGGGAUGACAGGGUUAUGGGCUCUGUCAGGCACAUGGCCCUCUCCACUUCCCAACAAGCAGACCACAGAGGAGAGGCUGGAAUGGACAGCUCUGGGAAGGCCCUUGAAUCUCUACUUCAUUGUGAGAGACCCCUGAUUUUCUGAGGGAUGAGCCCUAGCUGCCAGACAGUUAGGGCUCUGCUUGUGGACAAGGCUGGAUGGACGUAUAUGGCUGGAAAGUAGCUCUGCUGACACCUCUGGCUGAGAACUAACAGUCUGUCAGGAACCUUAAGGCACUGAGCAGGACACAGAAUGACAGAAGGGAUGAGACAAAGGUCAGAGGGCAGGAAACACUAGUGGGAGGCAGAGAUCGAGUGCACAUUCAUGGCCCACCUGUGCGAGUAGAAGAGGACAUCGAUGAGGGUGGUGGCGACAGCCGGCAGUGUCUCAGGGUCCAGUGUGAGGACACAAAAGCGGUUCUGCGGGCUCUGAAUGGGAUGCACCAUGGGACUGGGCCCUGCUCAGGAUACGGGACAACAAAGUGAAAAGGUUAUCUUGGACUGGGGCGACCCCUAGUGGCAGGAUAGGGCAGGGCUACUCCAUCUCAUACAUUGAGAGUGUUUUGCACCCUUUUAAAAGACAAGCCCUCCUGUAGGAAGAGGUCCCAUUUAAAUUUGGAUGUUGGCAGGCAGACCUCACCGUGCUGGGUUUGGGGAAAGCCAUUGCUGGAAUCGUCCUCGGUAACAGGCACAGGCUCCCCGCCUACUUCGCGGUAGAUUUGGAACUCCUGGGCCAGUGUGUGGAUCACCACAGACAGGUCCUGCUCCCGUACCUGGGUCAAGGCAAAUGGCACAUAUUAUGCAACAGCAGGCACCUCUGCUUAUGCCCUGCAUCAGCUCCUUCCCAAACCCACCAGGAUGAAGUCUGUCUGGUAUGUGGACAACAUCAGAACAGACACAUGGUGUUCAGCCAGCGGGGCAAUCACAGACCGGGCAAUCUUGGUUACUCCAGCAGCCUGCACCACCGAGCCACUGUGAGAUACGCUCAUCACCAGCCAUGUGGCCUCAGCCACUUGCAGGAACUCAGAUGGGGGUAGCUCUGUGGGCGGGAGGUACAUGUUUGGUUAGUCGGCUCCUCUCUGCCUCUCAGUUUCUGUGUCUAAACCUUGCCCGGUUCCGAGGUAGAUCGGAUCUGUUUCCUGACAGACUUGGAGCUCGGGACUGUUUCCUAUCAUUUCUGCCUCAGUGUGCGUCAUGCAGGCGUUCUCAGUGAGCACAACUGCUCCAAACUCAGAGCCAGAUUCAAGGCCCAGAUUUAAAAAAAAUUUUUUUUCUUGCUGUGUGACAUGGGACAAGUGUGUUUUGAGGGGGUGGGGGUUGAUUGUUUGUUUGCUUUGAGACAGUCUUACAAUGUAUAUUAAGCUGGGAUUUAACUCAAACGGACCCUAUU
Grammomys surdaster is the source of this 2643-nucleotide long non-coding RNA. RefSeq lists it as uncharacterized. The record is from RefSeq and is a predicted model, not a curated record. Lineage: Eukaryota; Metazoa; Chordata; Mammalia; Rodentia; Muridae. The transcript is spliced from 4 exons.